This 409-nucleotide ribosomal RNA is filed under the name Spigelia anthelmia. Its description in RNAcentral is "eukaryotic LSU rRNA". The stretch from base 1 to 124 matches the Rfam family "5.8S ribosomal RNA", at positions 33 to 154 of the family's 154-position model. The record is from RNAcentral. Lineage: Eukaryota; Viridiplantae; Streptophyta; Magnoliopsida; Gentianales; Loganiaceae.
UCGAUGAAGAACGCAGCAAACUGCGAUACUUGGUGUGAAUUGCAGAAUCCCGUGAACCAUCGAGUCUUUGAACGCAAGUUGCGCCCGAAGCCAUUAGGCCGAGGGCACGUCUGCCUGGGCGUCACGCAUCGCGUCGCCCCCGAGCAAAUCUCGACGAAAGCGGUUGCGAGGGGACGGAGAAUGGCCUCCCGUGCUUGGACGGCCGGUUGGCUGAAGUGCGUGUCCUUCGCGACGGGCGUCGCGACAAGUGGUGGUUGAAACAUUCCGCACGCGUCUCUGUCGCGCCGGCGCCGGUCGCACGUGAAGGGCGUGGAGGCCCUCUGUCGCGAGCGUCGUUUCCGUACGCUCUUCCACGACCGCGACCCCAGGUCAGGCGGGGCUACCCGCUGAGUUUAAGCAUAUCAAUAGG